ACAGAGGUCUCGAGCGUUGUUCGGAUUUACUGGGCGUAAAGGGAGCGUAGGCGGUUCGGUAUGUCGAAUGUGAAAUCCCACAACUCAACUGUGGAAUGGCAUUCGAAACUGCCGGGCUAGAGUACUGGAGAGGAGAGCGGAAUUCUUGGUGUAGCGGUGAAAUGCGUAGAUAUCAAGAGGAACACCGGUGGCGAAGGCGGCUCUCUGGACAGAUACUGACGCUGAGGCUCUAAAGUUAGGGGAGCAAACAGG
This 252-nucleotide ribosomal RNA is filed under the name uncultured bacterium. RNAcentral describes it as "partial 16S ribosomal RNA". It matches the Rfam family "Bacterial small subunit ribosomal RNA", at positions 525 to 776 of the family's 1533-position model. The record is from RNAcentral.